RNAcentral lists this ribosomal RNA (2320 nucleotides) under Escherichia coli. Its description in RNAcentral is "partial 23S ribosomal RNA". It matches the Rfam family "Bacterial large subunit ribosomal RNA", at positions 418 to 2723 of the family's 2925-position model. Lineage: Bacteria; Pseudomonadati; Pseudomonadota; Gammaproteobacteria; Enterobacterales; Enterobacteriaceae. The record is from RNAcentral.
CGGGACACGUGGUAUCCUGUCUGAAUAUGGGGGGACCAUCCUCCAAGGCUAAAUACUCCUGACUGACCGAUAGUGAACCAGUACCGUGAGGGAAAGGCGAAAAGAACCCCGGCGAGGGGAGUGAAAAAGAACCUGAAACCGUGUACGUACAAGCAGUGGGAGCACGCUUAGGCGUGUGACUGCGUACCUUUUGUAUAAUGGGUCAGCGACUUAUAUUCUGUAGCAAGGUUAACCGAAUAGGGGAGCCGAAGGGAAACCGAGUCUUAACUGGGCGUUAAGUUGCAGGGUAUAGACCCGAAACCCGGUGAUCUAGCCAUGGGCAGGUUGAAGGUUGGGUAACACUAACUGGAGGACCGAACCGACUAAUGUUGAAAAAUUAGCGGAUGACUUGUGGCUGGGGGUGAAAGGCCAAUCAAACCGGGAGAUAGCUGGUUCUCCCCGAAAGCUAUUUAGGUAGCGCCUCGUGAAUUCAUCUCCGGGGGUAGAGCACUGUUUCGGCAAGGGGGUCAUCCCGACUUACCAACCCGAUGCAAACUGCGAAUACCGGAGAAUGUUAUCACGGGAGACACACGGCGGGUGCUAACGUCCGUCGUGAAGAGGGAAACAACCCAGACCGCCAGCUAAGGUCCCAAAGUCAUGGUUAAGUGGGAAACGAUGUGGGAAGGCCCAGACAGCCAGGAUGUUGGCUUAGAAGCAGCCAUCAUUUAAAGAAAGCGUAAUAGCUCACUGGUCGAGUCGGCCUGCGCGGAAGAUGUAACGGGGCUAAACCAUGCACCGAAGCUGCGGCAGCGACGCUGAUGCGUUGUUGGGUAGGGGAGCGUUCUGUAAGCCUGUGAAGGUGUGCUGUGAGGCAUGCUGGAGGUAUCAGAAGUGCGAAUGCUGACAUAAGUAACGAUAAAGCGGGUGAAAAGCCCGCUCGCCGGAAGACCAAGGGUUCCUGUCCAACGUUAAUCGGGGCAGGGUGAGUCGACCCCUAAGGCGAGGCCGAAAGGCGUAGUCGAUGGGAAACAGGUUAAUAUUCCUGUACUUGGUGUUACUGCGAAGGGGGGACGGAGAAGGCUAUGUUGGCCGGGCGACGGUUGUCCCGGUUUAAGCGUGUAGGCUGGUUUUCCAGGCAAAUCCGGAAAAUCAAGGCUGAGGCGUGAUGACGAGGCACUACGGUGCUGAAGCAACAAAUGCCCUGCUUCCAGGAAAAGCCUCUAAGCAUCAGGUAACAUCAAAUCGUACCCCAAACCGACACAGGUGGUCAGGUAGAGAAUACCAAGGCGCUUGAGAGAACUCGGGUGAAGGAACUAGGCAAAAUGGUGCCGUAACUUCGGGAGAAGGCACGCUGAUAUGUAGGUGAAGCGACUUGCUCGUGGAGCUGAAAUCAGUCGAAGAUACCAGCUGGCUGCAACUGUUUAUUAAAAACACAGCACUGUGCAAACACGAAAGUGGACGUAUACGGUGUGACGCCUGCCCGGUGCCGGAAGGUUAAUUGAUGGGGUCAGCGCAAGCGAAGCUCUUGAUCGAAGCCCCGGUAAACGGCGGCCGUAACUAUAACGGUCCUAAGGUAGCGAAAUUCCUUGUCGGGUAAGUUCCGACCUGCACGAAUGGCGUAAUGAUGGCCAGGCUGUCUCCACCCGAGACUCAGUGAAAUUGAACUCGCUGUGAAGAUGCAGUGUACCCGCGGCAAGACGGAAAGACCCCGUGAACCUUUACUAUAGCUUGACACUGAACAUUGAGCCUUGAUGUGUAGGAUAGGUGGGAGGCUUUGAAGUGUGGACGCCAGUCUGCAUGGAGCCGGCCUUGAAAUACCACCCUUUAAUGUUUGAUGUUCUAACGUUGACCCGUGAUCCGGGUUGCGGACAGUGUCUGGUGGGUAGUUUGACUGGGGCGGUCUCCUCCUAAAGAGUAACGGAGGAGCACGAAGGUUGGCUAAUCCUGGUCGGACAUCAGGAGGUUAGUGCAAUGGCAUAAGCCAGCUUGACUGCGAGCGUGACGGCGCGAGCAGGUGCGAAAGCAGGUCAUAGUGAUCCGGUGGUUCUGAAUGGAAGGGCCAUCGCUCAACGGAUAAAAGGUACUCCGGGGAUAACAGGCUGAUACCGCCCAAGAGUUCAUAUCGACGGCGGUGUUUGGCACCUCGAUGUCGGCUCAUCACAUCCUGGGGCUGAAGUAGGUCCCAAGGGUAUGGCUGUUCGCCAUUUAAAGUGGUACGCGAGCUGGGUUUAGAACGUCGUGAGACAGUUCGGUCCCUAUCUGCCGUGGGCGCUGGAGAACUGAGGGGGGCUGCUCCUAGUACGAGAGGACCGGAGUGGACGCAUCACUGGUGUUCGGGUUG